AUGAAGCUGGAAUCGCUAGUAAUCGCGAAUCAGAAUGUCGCGGUGAAUACGUUCCCGGGUCUUGUACACACCGCCCGUCACACCAUGGGAGUCGGAAAUGCCCGAAGUCAGUGACCUAACCGAAAGGGAGGAGCUGCCGAAGGUGGAGCCGGUAACUGGGGUGAAGUCGUAACAAGGUAAC
Molecule: ribosomal RNA, 181 nt
Filed under: uncultured bacterium
Lineage: Bacteria
Description: partial 16S ribosomal RNA
Rfam family: Bacterial small subunit ribosomal RNA
Source: RNAcentral